Molecule: ribosomal RNA, 167 nt
Filed under: Candida albicans
Lineage: Eukaryota; Fungi; Ascomycota; Pichiomycetes; Serinales; Debaryomycetaceae
Description: partial 28S ribosomal RNA
Rfam family: Eukaryotic large subunit ribosomal RNA
Source: RNAcentral
UUGACCUCAAAUCAGGUAGGACUACCCGCUGAACUUAAGCAUAUCAAUAAGCGGAGGAAAAGAAACCAACAGGGAUUGCCUCAGUAGCGGCGAGUGAAGCGGCAAAAGCUCAAAUUUGAAAUCUGGCGUCUUUGGCGUCCGAGUUGUAAUUUGAAGAAGGUAUCUUU